UAAGCAAAUUAAACAAAACUUUCAACAACGGAUCUCUUGGUUCUGGCAUCGAUGAAGAACGCAGCGAAAUGCGAUAAGUAAUGUGAAUUGCAGAAUUCAGUGAAUCAUCGAAUCUUUGAACGCACAUUGCGCCCUUUGGUAUUCCGAAGGGCAUGCCUGUUCGAGCGUCAUUUCACCACUCA
RNAcentral lists this ribosomal RNA (182 nucleotides) under Septoria apiicola. RNAcentral describes it as "5.8S ribosomal RNA". The stretch from base 17 to 170 matches the Rfam family "5.8S ribosomal RNA". Rfam says of the family: 5.8S ribosomal RNA (5.8S rRNA) is a component of the large subunit of the eukaryotic ribosome. It is transcribed by RNA polymerase I as part of the 45S precursor that also contains 18S and 28S rRNA. Functionally, it is thought that 5.8S rRNA may be involved in ribosome translocation. The record is from RNAcentral. Lineage: Eukaryota; Fungi; Ascomycota; Dothideomycetes; Mycosphaerellales; Mycosphaerellaceae.